UCAUGGUCACAAAUCCCUGCUCACUGCUGCCACUGCUGCUGCCACCACAGACCAAGAGCUCCACUUGCACAGUGCUGCUGGCUAAGAAGAAGUUGCUGUACCUGAGCACUGGACCACAUGGACUCACAGAGACUCCCAACCAAGAGCUGAUACUGCAGAUUUCAGAGGGAAGAACCCUGAUACUCACCAGCUUCAGCUCUGGAGCACAAGAGAAAGAGCAGCAGGGGGAGAGGAAGAAGCAGCAUCUUCCCAGAGAGGCUGCCUGAGCAAAUGCUGGUUUUCCUUUCCAGUCUUGGGUUUUAUAACUCCCAGAAGGCAAGAGAGGGGCAAGGCUGGUAACCACAGGAACUGCAUGGUCACGUUUUCUUCUCUCACUCUGAAUUGGCUGUUUCUGAUCAGAAGUUCCCCUAGAAUCACCCAGUGUUUUUCUAGAAAGGAACUUGAGCCCUGAACUCCCAAGUGCUGGCUUCUCAGAUGUACCCUCAACUAUGGUGACUUUUCUGGAGUUGGGGGCAGGAAAUGGAGGGACCAUGUUUUUCUUUCCCAAUUAGGGCAGCUUGUGAAAGGCCCACUGAACGUUCAGUGCAAAGACUUUUAUGGCUAUGUUCCAUAGUCAGAAAUGCAUAUUGCAGAGUCCCAGUGCAUGCACAUAUGUAUGUGUGAGUAUGUAAGCACAAAUUAAAGGUUUCAGGAAACAA
Molecule: long non-coding RNA, 698 nt
Organism: Homo sapiens (human)
Lineage: Eukaryota; Metazoa; Chordata; Mammalia; Primates; Hominidae
Source: Ensembl